GGAGUAUUGAGGGAGGAGCCAACCAUUUAAAGGCUGGAUCCAAGCUGGCUGCCAGAGAAACGACUCAUGUUUUUCCAUGUGCUGUGGUUUCAGUUGUUUGGUUUUACAUUUGUUUAGAAUGCUUGAACUACUUACUUUUGAAUGUCCUACCUGUAUGUUCACAAGUACAUCAGACAUGAGUAGAAGCCACUGUGGAUUGAACGGAUGUGUGUUCAUUAACCGGCAGGCCUAAAUAAAGCAGCAGCAGCAGUAGGCUGGUAGAGGACGCACGUGGGGAGCAGGCCUGACUCCAGGGCUGUUAUUGUAAGGCUCUGUGAUGGUCCUGUGGAUGAGGUAUUUGUUUGGACAGUCCAGAAUACAUCAGGACGUUGUGUACAUCUGGAGAUGUGACUGUAGAGCAGUCCAAACUAAUCUACAAUAUGUUGCACAGAUAGCCAUGUGCAUGGGGAAUUCUAGGGUCUGUAUGUCGCAGAAUAAAGAUGGAAAGAAAAAAAAAAUUUAGUUUUAAUGAUUGUGUGGAU
RNAcentral lists this long non-coding RNA (521 nucleotides) under Astyanax mexicanus (Mexican tetra). RNAcentral describes it as "lncRNA (ENSAMXG00005023157.1)". The record is from RNAcentral. Lineage: Eukaryota; Metazoa; Chordata; Actinopteri; Characiformes; Acestrorhamphidae.